UACGGAAGGCAGCAGUGGGGAAUAUUGCACAAUGGGCGCAAGCCUGAUGCAGCCAUGCCGCGUGUAUGAAAAAGGCCUUCGGGUUGUAAAGUACUUUCAGUCGUGAGGAAGGUGUUAAGGUUAAUAACCUUAGCAAUUGACGUUAGCGACAGAAGAAGCACCGGCUAACUCCGUGCCAGCAGCCGCGGUAAUACGGAGGGUGCGAGCGUUAAUCGGAAUUACUGGGCGUAAAGGGCACGCAGGCGGUUAAUUAAGUUGGAUGUGAAAUCCCCGGGCUUAACCUGGGAAUGGCAUUCAAGACUGGUUAGCUAGAGUCUUGUAGAGGGGGGUAGAAUUCCAUGUGUAGCGGUGAAAUGCGUAGAGAUGUGGAGGAAUACCGGUGGCGAAGGCGGCCCCUGGACAAAGACUGACGCUCAUGUGCGAAAGCGUGGGGAGCGAAACAGGGAUUAGAUAC
Molecule: ribosomal RNA, 454 nt
Filed under: uncultured bacterium
Lineage: Bacteria
Description: bacterial SSU rRNA
Rfam family: Bacterial small subunit ribosomal RNA
Source: RNAcentral